AAUGUGUUUUUAGUGACUCCAUACUAUUUACUUACAACUUCUGAAUUCUCACAUAUUUUUAGGACGGCUUCGCGGACCACUUGGAAUGCCUCCAGGGAC
This is a long non-coding RNA of Aricia agestis (brown argus), 99 nucleotides long. RefSeq lists it as uncharacterized. The transcript has 3 exons. NCBI's taxonomy places the organism in Eukaryota, Metazoa, Arthropoda, Insecta, Lepidoptera, Lycaenidae. The record is from RefSeq and is a predicted model, not a curated record.